Molecule: small nucleolar RNA, 106 nt
Organism: Callithrix jacchus (white-tufted-ear marmoset)
Lineage: Eukaryota; Metazoa; Chordata; Mammalia; Primates; Cebidae
Source: Ensembl
UAGCGUGGCCAUGGGAUCUCCAGCUGUACGCAAGAGCAACCUGGAGAGACAUUGACAGCACAGGUCAGAUCAAUGCCUGCAGCUGCCUGUCGCCUUUCCUAUAAUG